GGGACACGUGGUAUCCUGUCUGAAUAUGGGGGGACCAUCCUCCAAGGCUAAAUACUCCUGACUGACCGAUAGUGAACCAGUACCGUGAGGGAAAGGCGAAAAGAACCCCGGCGAGGGGAGUGAAAAAGAACCUGAAACCGUGUACGUACAAGCAGUGGGAGCACCUUCGGGUGUGACUGCGUACCUUUUGUAUAAUGGGUCAGCGACUUAUAUUCUGUAGCAAGGUUAACCGUAUAGGGGAGCCGCAGGGAAACCGAGUCUUAACUGGGCGUUAAGUUGCAGGGUAUAGACCCGAAACCCGGUGAUCUAGCCAUGGGCAGGUUGAAGGUUGGGUAACACUAACUGGAGGACCGAACCGACUAAUGUUGAAAAAUUAGCGGAUGACUUGUGGCUGGGGGUGAAAGGCCAAUCAAACCGGGAGAUAGCUGGUUCUCCCCGAAAGCUAUUUAGGUAGCGCCUCGUGAAUUCAUCUUCGGGGGUAGAGCACUGUUUCGGCUAGGGGGUCAUCCCGACUUACCAACCCGAUGCAAACUGCGAAUACCGAAGAAUGUUAUCACGGGAGACACACGGCGGGUGCUAACGUCCGUCGUGAAGAGGGAAACAACCCAGACCGCCAGCUAAGGUCCCAAAGUCAUGGUUAAGUGGGAAACGAUGUGGGAAGGCACAGACAGCCAGGAUGUUGGCUUAGAAGCAGCCAUCAUUUAAAGAAAGCGUAAUAGCUCACUGGUCGAGUCGGCCUGCGCGGAAGAUGUAACGGGGCUAAACCAUGCACCGAAGCUGCGGCAGCGACACUAUGUGUUGUUGGGUAGGGGAGCGUUCUGUAAGCCUGCGAAGGUGUGCUGUGAGGCAUGCUGGAGGUAUCAGAAGUGCGAAUGCUGACAUAAGUAACGAUAAAGCGGGUGAAAAGCCCGCUCGCCGGAAGACCAAGGGUUCCUGUCCAACGUUAAUCGGGGCAGGGUGAGUCGACCCCUAAGGCGAGGCCGAAAGGCGUAGUCGAUGGGAAACAGGUUAAUAUUCCUGUACUUGGUGUUACUGCGAAGGGGGGACGGAGAAGGCUAUGUUAGCCGGGCGACGGUUGUCCCGGUUUAAGCAUGUAGGCUGGUUGUCCAGGCAAAUCCGGAUAAUCAAGGCUGAGGUGUGAUGACGAGGCACUACGGUGCUGAAGUAACAAAUGCCCUGCUUCCAGGAAAAGCCUCUAAGCAUCAGGUAACAU
RNAcentral lists this ribosomal RNA (1213 nucleotides) under Klebsiella pneumoniae. Its description in RNAcentral is "partial 23S ribosomal RNA". It matches the Rfam family "Bacterial large subunit ribosomal RNA", at positions 419 to 1637 of the family's 2925-position model. RNAcentral also lists the same sequence under 1 other name. Lineage: Bacteria; Pseudomonadati; Pseudomonadota; Gammaproteobacteria; Enterobacterales; Enterobacteriaceae. The record is from RNAcentral.